GUGUCAGCAGCCGCGGUAAUACGUAGGUGGCGAGCGUUGUCCGGAAUUACUGGGCGUAAAGGGUGCGUAGGCGGAAGCUUAAGUCAGAUGUGAAAUCCCAAGGCUCAACCUUGGAGUGGCAUUUGAAACUGGGUUUCUUGAGUGCAGGAGAGGAAAGCGGAAUUCCUAGUGUAGCGGUGAAAUGCGUAGAUAUUAGGAAGAACACCAGUGGCGAAGGCGGCUUUCUGGACUGUAACUGACGCUGAGGCACGAAAGCGUGGGGAGCAAACAGGAUUAGAUACCCUGGUAGUCCACGCUGUAAACGAUGAGUGCUAGGUGUGGGGGGUUUCGACACCCUCUGUGCCGCAGUAAACGCAAUAAGCACUCCGCCUGGGGAGUACGGUCGCAAGACUAAA
This 395-nucleotide ribosomal RNA is filed under the name uncultured bacterium. RNAcentral's name for it is "bacterial SSU rRNA". It matches the Rfam family "Bacterial small subunit ribosomal RNA", at positions 505 to 898 of the family's 1533-position model. The record is from RNAcentral.